This 260-nucleotide ribosomal RNA is filed under the name uncultured prokaryote. RNAcentral describes it as "partial 16S ribosomal RNA". It matches the Rfam family "Bacterial small subunit ribosomal RNA", at positions 524 to 784 of the family's 1533-position model. The record is from RNAcentral.
UACGUAGGGGCAAGCGUUGUCCGGAAUGACUGGGCGUAAAGGGCGCGUAGGCGGCCUUGUAAGUCUUAUGUGAAAGUCCUGCUUUCAAGGUGGGAAUUGCAUGGGAAACUAUGAGGCUUGAGUGCAGAAGAGGCAAGUGGAAUUCCCAGUGUAGCGGUGAAAUGCGUAGAGAUUGGGAGGAACACCAGUGGCGAAGGCGACUUGCUGGGCUGUAACUGACGCUGAGGCGCGAAAGCGUGGGGAGCGAACAGGAUUAGAUA